AAGAUUUCUUGAAUAUGAUUUUAGAAUUAUUCAACAAGAUGAGACAAUUGACAAAAAGAUUCAAGCUUUAACACACAGCUCACAUUCAUACAGAGAUUCAAUUUGACAAAAAAGCUAUAAACUUUGGUUCUAACAAACCCUAUUUACUCAAUUAUGGCACCAAACUUGUGAAGGAGCUGAACAAAAUCGUAAUCAACACAAUGAAAUCAAACGUAACAUCAUCACAACGCAAACAUCUAAACACUCGAGCUUGAGCGAAUCGAUUCAUGAUCUUCACAAAAUUCAGAAUUCAAAAGAGGGGGUUUUGAGUUAUUUAACACAUACAUCUUCAUCAACGGACUCACUUCUAUUGGAGCUUUAGCUUCUCUUCCUACCUUAAAUUCGCGGGUAAAUUUUGAUAAAAGCACUUGGCUUUAUACGAUUGAAAGAGAACAAUCGUGAAAUUGAUCGCCAUCGGAGAGACGAUAAAGAGAGAGAGACAACAGAACACGGGCAACCAAUUCGAACCAAUUUUAAGACGAUCCAGACCAAACUCUUCGAUUUCACCAUCGGAGACAAGAGAGAAAGGAGACCAGAACGAGACGAGAAAAAACAAAGACGUUCGUCUCUUAAGGUAUUUUGUUGUCUCUUAAGUAAGAGACGUUCCUUAACAUUAUUCAAUAUUUGGCAUUUAAUUUUAUUUAUAUAAUUACCUAAAAUUUCUCUAAGAUAUGUCUAAGAGCUUACCGAUAAUGGUGCUCUAUAGUGUAUCAAUUUAUAUAUUAUGAGAGUGAAUGAUGUUUACACCAAGGCAGAUCAAAGAGUAGAUCGAACCAAAACAAAAGAGACAAAAUUUUCAAAUCAAGAGCUAUGAUUGAUCAAGUGGCUUCGGCUUGAAAUACAUCAAACAGUCCAUCAUUUAAAGGAGACUGAUUAAGACAAAACACCCCUAGAUUGAUAACAUUCAUAAGAUGGUCCAAUCACGAAUAAGCCAAACUGCCCAACAAAAAAUCCACUCGAGUAAAUGAUUUUUUCUUGAAUUUUCACCAAUAAAUCCAUCAUUUUGAAGGUAAUGGUCAAGACAAAUUGGCAAUAGAUCAUACUGGAUCAAGACAUAGACAAGAGACCACACUCACAGCUAUUAAACCGAACACUUUAAACACCACUUAAGAGAGUUUUUAGCCUAGUCACAUCCAUUUAAACUCAUGGC
Molecule: long non-coding RNA, 1189 nt
Filed under: Arabidopsis lyrata
Lineage: Eukaryota; Viridiplantae; Streptophyta; Magnoliopsida; Brassicales; Brassicaceae
Description: long non-coding RNA (ALYR_LNC002400)
Source: RNAcentral